GUGCACCAGGCGCGAAUCCUUCACAAUGCGCGCAAGCGUGAUGAGGUUACUCUGAGUGGUGUCCGCUGAGGACGCCUUUUGUCAGGCCUAAAAAGCCUGAAGAAUAAGGGGAGGGCAAGACUGGUGUCAGCCGCCGCGGUAAUACCAGCUCCCCGAAUGGUCGAGACGAUUAUUGGGCCUAAAGCAUCCGUAGCCGGUCCUGUUGAUGAUCCGUUAAAUCCAACGACUCAAUCGUUGAACCGCGGAUUAUAUCAUAGGGCUAGGGGGCGGGAGAGGUGAGGAGUACUCCACGGGUAGGGGUAAAAUCCGUUGAUCCGUUGAAGACUAACAGUGGCGAAGGCGCCUCGCCAGAACGCGCUCGACGGUGAGGGAUGAAAGCUAGGGGAGCAAACCGGAUUAGAUACCCCUGUAGUCC
This 415-nucleotide ribosomal RNA is filed under the name uncultured bacterium. Its description in RNAcentral is "bacterial SSU rRNA". It matches the Rfam family "Archaeal small subunit ribosomal RNA", at positions 330 to 747 of the family's 1478-position model. The record is from RNAcentral.